GGAGAGUUGCCGGAGUGGUCGAACGGGGCGGUCUCGAAAACCGUUGUGCGACUUGUCGUACCGAGGGUUCGAAUCCCUCACUCUCCGCCA
RNAcentral lists this transfer RNA (90 nucleotides) under Gammaproteobacteria bacterium. RNAcentral's name for it is "tRNA-Ser". It matches the Rfam family "tRNA". Rfam says of the family: Transfer RNA (tRNA) molecules are approximately 80 nucleotides in length. Their secondary structure includes four short double-helical elements and three loops (D, anti-codon, and T loops). The record is from RNAcentral. Lineage: Bacteria; Pseudomonadati; Pseudomonadota; Gammaproteobacteria.